GAUGAAGAACGUAGCGAAAUGCGAUAAGUAAUGUGAAUUGCAGAAUUCCGUGAAUCAUCGAAUCUUUGAACGCACAUUGCGCCCCCUGGUAUUCCGGGGGGCAUGCCUGUCCGAGCGUCAUUGCAACCCUCAAGCGCGGCUUGUGUGUUGGGCUUCGUCCCCCCGUGGACGUGCCCGAAAGGCAGUGGCGGCGUCCCGAAUGGUGCCCGAGCGUAUGGGAACUCUCUUCCGCUCGAACCGGCCCAUUCGGCGCUGGUCGAAACCCAAUUUUUUUUUACCGGUUGACCUCGGAUCAGGUAGGGAUACCCGCUGAACUUAAGCAUAUCAAUAAGCGGAGGA
This 339-nucleotide unclassified non-coding RNA is filed under the name soil metagenome. RNAcentral describes it as "partial contains 5.8S ribosomal RNA, internal transcribed spacer 2, and large subunit ribosomal RNA". The stretch from base 1 to 120 matches the Rfam family "5.8S ribosomal RNA", at positions 35 to 154 of the family's 154-position model. The record is from RNAcentral.